Molecule: ribosomal RNA, 460 nt
Filed under: uncultured bacterium
Lineage: Bacteria
Description: partial 16S ribosomal RNA
Rfam family: Bacterial small subunit ribosomal RNA
Source: RNAcentral
CCUACGGGUGGCAGCAGUGAGGAAUAUUGGUCAAUGGCCGGAAGGCUGAACCAGCCAAGCCGCGUGAGGGAGGAAGGCGCAGAGCGUCGCAGACCUCUUUUGCCGGGGAGCAACGGGCGCCACGUGUGGCGCCACUGAGAGUACCCGGAGAAAAAGCAUCGGCUAACUCCGUGCCCGCAGCCGCGGUAAUACGGAGGAUGCGAGCGUUAUCCGGAUUUAUUGGGUUUAAAGGGUGCGUAGGCGGAGCGUUAAGUCAGUGGUCAAAUUGAGGGGCUCAACCCCUUCCCGCCAUUGAAACUGGCGCUCUUGAGUGGAAGAGAAGUAUGCGGAAUGCGUGGUGUAGCGGUGAAAUGCAUAGAUAUCACGCAGAACCCAGAUUGCGAAGGCAGCAUGCCGGCUUCCGACUGACGCUGAAGCACGAAAGCGUGGGGAUCGAACAGGAUUAGAUACCCGGGUAGUC